UGACACUGACACUGAGGUGCGAAAGCGUGGGUAGCAAACAGGAUUAGAUACCCUGGUAGUCCACGCCGUAAACGAUGUCGACCAGCCGUUGGGUGCCUAGCGCACUUUGUGGCGAAGUUAACGCGAUAAGUCGACCGCCUGGGGAGUACGGCCGCAAGGUUAAAACUCAAAUGAAUUGACGGGGGCCCGCACAAGCGGUGGAGCAUGUGGUUUAAUUCGAUGCAACGCGAAGAACCUUACCUACUCUUGACAUCCUGCGAAUUUGGUAGAGAUACCUUAGUGCCUUCGGGAACGCARAGACAGGUGCUGCAUGGCUGUCGUCAGCUCGUGUUGUGAAAUGUUGGGUUAAGUCCCGUAACGAGCGCAACCCUUGUCCUUAUUUGCCAGCGCGUAAUGGCGGGAACUCUAAGGAGACUGCCGGUGACAAACCGGAGGAAGGKGGGGACGACGUCAAGUCAUCAUGGCCCUUACGAGUAGGGCUACACACGUGCUACAAUGGUCGGUACAAAGGGUUGCCAACUCGCGAGAGUGAGCCAAUCCCGAAAAGCCGAUCUCAGUCCGGAUCGGAGUCUGCAACUCGACUCCGUGAAGUCGGAAUCGCUAGUAAUCGUGGAUCAGAAUGCCACGGUGAAUACGUUCCCGGGCCUUGUACACACCGCCCGUCACACCAUGGGAGUGGACUGCACCAGAAGUGGUUAGCCUAACGCAAGAGGGCGAUCACCACGGUGUGGUUCAUGACUGGGGUGAAGUCGUAA
Molecule: ribosomal RNA, 755 nt
Filed under: Halomonas sp. BAB-5296
Lineage: Bacteria; Pseudomonadati; Pseudomonadota; Gammaproteobacteria; Oceanospirillales; Halomonadaceae
Description: bacterial SSU rRNA
Rfam family: Bacterial small subunit ribosomal RNA
Source: RNAcentral